UUUGAGGAGAACACAUCGCACUCUGGUUCUUAGUAGAGAUCAAUGACCAAAUUCCUGUCCUUUUAAGGGAAUGUUAUCUGCAAUUAAAAAAUUGGAAAUGGCAAAUCAAAGAGCAUUCCCUUGGAAGAAGGGA
Procavia capensis (Cape rock hyrax) is the source of this 133-nucleotide non-coding RNA. Lineage: Eukaryota; Metazoa; Chordata; Mammalia; Hyracoidea; Procaviidae. The record is from Rfam.